GACGAACGCUGGCGGCGUGCUUAACACAUGCAAGUCGAACGGGCUCUGUCUGGCUGUGUGCUGGGUGGGGUUAGUGGCGAACGGGUGAGUAAUACGUGAGUAACCUGCCCUCUUCUUUGGGAUAAGCCUUGGAAACGGGGUCUAAUACUGGAUAUUCCUGUCUGGUCGCAUGGCUGGGUGGGGAAAGUUUUUUUCGGUGGGGGAUGGGCUCGCGGCCUAUCAGCUUGUUGGUGGGGUGAUGGCCUACCAAGGCGUCGACGGGUAGCCGGCCUGAGAGGGUGACCGGCCAGACUGGGACUGAGAUACGGCCCAGACUCCUACGGGGGGCAGCAGUGGGGGAUAUUGCACAAUGGGCGCAAGCCUGAUGCAGCGACGCCGCGUGGGGGAUGACGGCUUUCGGGUUGUAAACCUCUUUCGUCGGGGGACAAGGCUCUGCUUGGUGGUGGGGUUGAGGGUACCCGGUGAAGAAGCGCCGGCUAACUACGUG
This 487-nucleotide ribosomal RNA is filed under the name uncultured bacterium. RNAcentral's name for it is "partial 16S ribosomal RNA". It matches the Rfam family "Bacterial small subunit ribosomal RNA", at positions 28 to 507 of the family's 1533-position model. The record is from RNAcentral.